This 497-nucleotide ribosomal RNA is filed under the name uncultured bacterium. Its description in RNAcentral is "partial 16S ribosomal RNA". It matches the Rfam family "Bacterial small subunit ribosomal RNA", at positions 28 to 507 of the family's 1533-position model. The record is from RNAcentral.
GAUGAACGCUGGCGGCGUGCCUAAUACAUGCAAGUCGAGCGAACAGACGAGGAGCUUACUCCUCUGACGUUAGCGGCGGACGGGUGAGUAACACGUGGAUAACCUACCUAUAAGACUGGGAUAACUUCGGGAAACCGGAGCUAAUACCGGAUAACAUGUUGAACCGCAUGGUUCAACAGUGAAAGACGGUCUUGCUGUCACUUAUAGAUGGAUCCGCGUCGCAUUAGCUAGUUGGUAAGGUAACGGCUUACCAAGGCAACGAUGCGUAGCCGACCUGAGAGAGUGAUCGGCAACACUGGAACUGAGACACGGUCCAGACUCCUACGGGAGGCAGCAGUAGGGAAUCUUCCGCAAUGGGCGAAAGCCUGACGGAGCAACGCCGAGUGAGUGAAGAAGGUCUUCGGAUCGUAAAACUCUGUUAUUAGGGAAGAACAAAUGUGUAAGUAACUAUGCACGUCUUGACGGUACCUAAUCAGAAAGCCACGGCUAACUACGUG